AGGUGGUGCAAGGCAGCCGCGGCCGCGACUUGUUGCGUCCGAGGAAAGUCCGAGCACGGCAGGACACGGUGGUGGGUAACACCCACCCGCCCGAUGAUUCGUUUCGCGUCUCGAGGGCGAGGGAAAGUGCCGCAGAAAGCAAACCGCCGAUGGCGAUCCCCGGAUCGCACAGGCAAGGGUGAAAGGGUGCGGUAAGAGCGCACCGCCCGGCUGGUGACAGACGGGGCAAGGCAAACCCCACCGCGUGCAAGAUCAAGCAGCUCUCUCCCGCCUCGGCGGGCUGGCCUGUCCGGUUAGAAAGAGAGCGGGUAGAUCGCUCGGGUUGUCCGAGAGGGCAACCCCCACCGCGUCGGUAACGGCGCGGGAAGAGAAAUGGCUGCCCAUGCCGACCAUCUCGGUGGGAGGCGGGACAGAACUCGGCUUAGCAGCGCCGCCCGAUA
This 440-nucleotide RNase P RNA is filed under the name Phycisphaera sp. RNAcentral's name for it is "Bacterial RNase P class A". It matches the Rfam family "Bacterial RNase P class A". Rfam says of the family: Ribonuclease P (RNase P) is a ubiquitous endoribonuclease, found in archaea, bacteria and eukarya as well as chloroplasts and mitochondria. Its best characterised activity is the generation of mature 5'-ends of tRNAs by cleaving the 5'-leader elements of precursor-tRNAs. Lineage: Bacteria; Pseudomonadati; Planctomycetota; Phycisphaerae; Phycisphaerales; Phycisphaeraceae. The record is from Rfam by way of RNAcentral.